This 118-nucleotide ribosomal RNA is filed under the name uncultured Methanobacterium sp. Its description in RNAcentral is "partial 16S ribosomal RNA". It matches the Rfam family "Archaeal small subunit ribosomal RNA", at positions 340 to 458 of the family's 1478-position model. The record is from RNAcentral. Lineage: Archaea; Methanobacteriati; Methanobacteriota; Methanobacteria; Methanobacteriales; Methanobacteriaceae.
CGCGAAACCUCCGCAAUGCGAGAAAUCGCGACGGGGGGACCCCAAGUGCCACUCUUAACGGGGUGGCUUUUCUAAAGUGUAAAAAGCUUUAGGAAUAAGGGCUGGGCAAGACCGGUGC